GAGACCCGUACCCACAGUUGCCAGCGGCUGCUCCGGCAGGCUGGGUACACUAUGGGGACCGCCUCUGCUAAAGAGGAGGAAGGAGCGGGCGACGGUAGGUCAGUAUGCCCCGAAUUCUCCGGGCUACACGCGGGCUACAAUGGAUGGGACAAUGGGCUCCGACACCGAAAGGUGAAGGCAAUCUCUUAAACCCAUUCUUAGUUCGGAUUGAGGGCUGAAACUCGCCCUCAUGAAGCUGGAAUCCGUAGUAAUCGCGUUUCAAAAUAGCGCGGUGAAUAC
RNAcentral lists this ribosomal RNA (279 nucleotides) under uncultured methanogenic archaeon. RNAcentral describes it as "partial 16S rRNA". It matches the Rfam family "Archaeal small subunit ribosomal RNA", at positions 1047 to 1325 of the family's 1478-position model. Lineage: Archaea; Methanobacteriati; Methanobacteriota. The record is from RNAcentral.